Molecule: ribosomal RNA, 661 nt
Filed under: Cytobacillus firmus
Lineage: Bacteria; Bacillati; Bacillota; Bacilli; Caryophanales; Bacillaceae
Description: bacterial SSU rRNA
Rfam family: Bacterial small subunit ribosomal RNA
Source: RNAcentral
UGCAGUCGAGCGGACGGAUGGGAGCUUGCUCCCUGAAGUCAGCGGCGGACGGGUGAGUAACACGUGGGCAACCUGCCUGUAAGACUGGGAUAACUCCGGGAAACCGGGGCUAAUACCGGAUAACUCUUUUCCUCACAUGAGGAAAAGCUGAAAGAUGGUUUCGGCUAUCACUUACAGAUGGGCCCGCGGCGCAUUAGCUAGUUGGUGAGGUAACGGCUCACCAAGGCCACGAUGCGUAGCCGACCUGAGAGGGUGAUCGGCCACACUGGGACUGAGACACGGCCCAGACUCCUACGGGAGGCAGCAGUAGGGAAUCUUCCGCAAUGGACGAAAGUCUGACGGAGCAACGCCGCGUGAGUGAUGAAGGUUUUCGGAUCGUAAAACUCUGUUGUCAGGGAAGAACAAGUACCGGAGUAACUGCCGGUACCUUGACGGUACCUGACCAGAAAGCCACGGCUAACUACGUGCCAGCAGCCGCGGUAAUACGUAGGUGGCAAGCGUUGUCCGGAAUUAUUGGGCGUAAAGCGCGCGCAGGCGGUUCCUUAAGUCUGAUGUGAAAGCCCCCGGCUCAACCGGGGAGGGUCAUUGGAAACUGGGGAACUUGAGUGCAGAAGAGAAGAGUGGAAUUCCACGUGUAGCGGUGAAAUGCGUAGAGAUGUGG